CCCCCAAUUGACAGUUGCCACUUUCCAUUAGAUGGAUGUUACCACACUUCCACUCAAAGAUACUAGAGGAGCUCCUCUAGUAUCUUUGCUUCCACUUGCAUCGGUUGCCAUGGAGAUAGGAUGGAUGGACUCCCCGUGUCUCCCUCAGCCCGUCAACCAACUGCUGAGGUGGAUGCCGGGAGCACAGCAAAAUUCUCGAUUGGAACCUCGAUUUCCUGACAGACAGAAUCAGUGAGGAUAGGGGACAAACCAUCCUCUACGAUAAUCCUCAACACAGGUUCCCCGCAAGGAUGGGAGAGUCGACUUUGAUGCGAUAGACUUGGGUGAAGGAGUAAUCGCUCCCAAGAAUGGCAUACUGCCAUCCGUUUAUUCGAAGAGGCUGGAAGACCAUGGCACCGCGGGAGGGAAAGGUCUGCUUUUCCACAAACCUUGAGGUCUCCCA
Molecule: long non-coding RNA, 442 nt
Organism: Leucoraja erinaceus (little skate)
Lineage: Eukaryota; Metazoa; Chordata; Chondrichthyes; Rajiformes; Rajidae
Exons: 3
Source: RefSeq, a predicted model, not a curated record